RNAcentral lists this ribosomal RNA (520 nucleotides) under uncultured Glomus. RNAcentral's name for it is "SSU rRNA". It matches the Rfam family "Eukaryotic small subunit ribosomal RNA", at positions 569 to 1090 of the family's 1831-position model. Lineage: Eukaryota; Fungi; Glomeromycota; Glomeromycetes; Glomerales; Glomeraceae. The record is from RNAcentral.
AGCAGCCGCGGUAAUUCCAGCUCCAAUAGCGUAUAUUAAAGUUGUUGCAGUUAAAAAGCUCGUAGUUGAAUUUCGGGGUUAGCAGGUCGGUCGUGCCUUUGGUAUGAACUGGUCUCGCUGAUCCCUCCCUCUUGACGAACUGUGAUGCCAUUAAUUUGGUGUCGUAGGGAAUCAGGACUGUUACUUUGAAAAAAUUAGAGUGUUUAAAGCAGGCUUUCGCUUGAAUACAUUAGCAUGGAAUAAUGAAAUAGGACGUUUGAUCCUAUUUUGUUGGUUUCUAGGAUUGACGUAAUGAUUAAUAGGGAUAGUUGGGGGCAUUAGUAUUCAAUUGUCAGAGGUGAAAUUCUUGGAUUUAUUGAAGACUAACUACUGCGAAAGCAUUUGCCAAGGAUGUUUUCAUUAAUCAAGAACGAAAGUUAGGGGGAUCGAAGACGAUCAGAUACCGUCGUAGUCUUAACCAUAAACUAUGCCGACUAGGGAUCGGAUGAUGUUAAUUUUUAAUGACUCAUUCGGCGCCUUA